This is a non-coding RNA of Schistosoma mansoni, 45 nucleotides long. NCBI's taxonomy places the organism in Eukaryota, Metazoa, Platyhelminthes, Trematoda, Strigeidida, Schistosomatidae. The record is from Rfam.
AUCCAGCUGACGAGUCCCAAAUAGGACGAAACAUGCGUCCUCGAU